Molecule: transfer RNA, 74 nt
Filed under: Nakaseomyces glabratus
Lineage: Eukaryota; Fungi; Ascomycota; Saccharomycetes; Saccharomycetales; Saccharomycetaceae
Description: [Candida] glabrata transfer RNA-Arg(ACG)
Rfam family: tRNA
About the family: Transfer RNA (tRNA) molecules are approximately 80 nucleotides in length.
Source: RNAcentral
UUCCUCGUGGCCCAAUGGUCACGGCGUCUGGCUACGAACCAGAAGAUUCCAGGUUCGAGUCCUGGGCGGGGAAG